GAUGAACGCUAGCUACAGGCUUAACACAUGCAAGUCGAGGGGAAACGGCAUCGAAAGCUUGCUUUUGAUGGGCGUCGACCGGCGCACGGGUGAGUAACGCGUAUCCAACCUGCCCAUCACUUGGGAAUAACCUUGCGAAAGUAAGACUAAUGCCCAAUGACAUCCCACGAAGGCAUCCGAAUGGGAUUAAAGAUUUAUCGGUGAUGGAUGGGGAUGCGUCUGAUUAGCUUGUUGGCGGGGUGACGGCCCACCAAGGCAACGAUCAGUAGGGGUUCUGGGAGGAAGGUCCCCCACAUUGGAACUGAGACACGGUCCAAACUCCUACGGGAGGCAGCAGUGAGGAAUAUUGGUCAAUGGGCGAGAGCCUGAACCAGCCAAGUAGCGUGCAGGAUGACGGCCCUAUGGGUUGUAAACUGCUUUUAUAAGGGAAUAAAGUGGGUCACGUGUGACUUUUUGCAUGUACCUUAUGAAUAAGGACCGGCUAAUUCCGUG
Molecule: ribosomal RNA, 492 nt
Filed under: uncultured bacterium
Lineage: Bacteria
Description: partial 16S ribosomal RNA
Rfam family: Bacterial small subunit ribosomal RNA
Source: RNAcentral